Molecule: ribosomal RNA, 479 nt
Filed under: uncultured anaerobic ammonium-oxidizing bacterium
Lineage: Bacteria
Description: bacterial SSU rRNA
Rfam family: Bacterial small subunit ribosomal RNA
Source: RNAcentral
UUUCGCAAUGCCCGAAAGGGUGACGAAGCGACGCCGCGUGAGUGAGGAAGGCCUUCGGGUUGUAAAGCUCUGUCAGGAGUUAAGAAAUAUAAGUGUGCUAAUACCACAUUUAUUUGACAAAAGCUCCAAAGGAAGCCACGGCUAACUCUGUGCCAGCAGCCGCGGUAAUACAGAGGUGGCAAGCGUUGUUCGGAAUUAUUGGGCGUAAAGAGCACGUAGGUGGGUUUGUAAGUCAGAUGUGAAAGCCUUCUGUUCAACGGAAGAAUUGCAUCAGAAACUGCGAGUCUUGAGUGUAGGAGGGGAGAAUGGAACUUCUGGUGGAGCGGUGAAAUGCGUAGAUAUCAGAAGGAACGCCGGCGGCGAAAGCGAUUCUCUGGCCUAUUACUGACACUCAGUGUGCGAAAGCUAGGGGAGCAAACGGGAUUAGAUACCCCGGUAGUCCUAGCUGUAAACGAUGGGCACUAAGUAGAGGGGUUUUA